Molecule: ribosomal RNA, 253 nt
Filed under: uncultured bacterium
Lineage: Bacteria
Description: partial 16S ribosomal RNA
Rfam family: Bacterial small subunit ribosomal RNA
Source: RNAcentral
UACAGAGGGUGCAAGCGUUGUUCGGAAUUAUUGGGCUUAAAGCGCGUGUAGGCGGCUUUGCAAGUCGGGUGUGAAAGCCCUCAGCUCAACUGAGGAAGUGCGCCCGAAACUGCAGAGCUUGAGUACCGGAGAGGAUGGCGGAAUUCCCCAAGUAGAGGUGAAAUUCGCAGAUAUGGGGAGGAACACCGGUGGCGAAGGCGGCCAUCUGGACGGAUACUGACGCUGAGACGCGAAAGCGUGGGUAGCAAACAGG